AACGAACGCUGGCGGCAGGCCUAACACAUGCAAGUCGAACGAGACCUUCGGGUCUAGUGGCGCACGGGUGCGUAACGCGUGGGAACCUGCCCUUAGGUUCGGAAUAACGCCCCGGAAGGGGUGCGAAUACCGGAUAAUGUCUUGGGACCAAAGAUUUAUCGCCUUUGGAUGGGCCCGCGUUGGAUUAGCUAGUUGUUAGGGUAAAAGCCUACCAAGGCGACGAGCCAUAGCGGGUAUGAGAGGAUGAUCAGCCACACUGGGACUGAGACACGGCCCAGACUCCUACGGGAGGCAGCAGUGGGGAAUAUUGGACAAUGGGCGAAAGCCUGAUCCAGCAAUGCCGCGUGAGUGAUGAAGGCCUUAGGGUUGUAAAGCUAUUUUACCCGGGAUGAUAAUGACAGUACCGGGAGAAUAAGCUCCGGCUAACUCCGUG
This 433-nucleotide ribosomal RNA is filed under the name uncultured bacterium. RNAcentral's name for it is "partial 16S ribosomal RNA". It matches the Rfam family "Bacterial small subunit ribosomal RNA", at positions 29 to 507 of the family's 1533-position model. The record is from RNAcentral.